UCAGAGUGAACGCUGGCGGUAGGCCUAACACAUGCAAGUCGAACGGCAGCACAGGAGAGCUUGCUCUCUGGGUGGCGAGUGGCGGACGGGUGAGGAAUACAUCGGAAUCUACUCUGUCGUGGGGGAUAACGUAGGGAAACUUACGCUAAUACCGCAUACGACCUACGGGUGAAAGCAGGGGACCUUCGGGCCUUGCGCGAUUGAAUGAGCCGAUGUCGGAUUAGCUAGUUGGCGGGGUAAAGGCCCACCAAGGCGACGAUCCGUAGCUGGUCUGAGAGGAUGAUCAGCCACACUGGAACUGAGACACGGUCCAGACUCCUACGGGAGGCAGCAGUGGGGAAUAUUGGACAAUGGGCGCAAGCCUGAUCCAGCCAUACCGCGUGGGUGAAGAAGGC
This 395-nucleotide ribosomal RNA is filed under the name Stenotrophomonas sp. DJ30. Its description in RNAcentral is "bacterial SSU rRNA". It matches the Rfam family "Bacterial small subunit ribosomal RNA", at positions 24 to 415 of the family's 1533-position model. Lineage: Bacteria; Pseudomonadati; Pseudomonadota; Gammaproteobacteria; Lysobacterales; Lysobacteraceae. The record is from RNAcentral.